Molecule: ribosomal RNA, 465 nt
Filed under: uncultured bacterium
Lineage: Bacteria
Description: partial 16S ribosomal RNA
Rfam family: Bacterial small subunit ribosomal RNA
Source: RNAcentral
GACGAACGCUGGCGGCGUGCUUAACACAUGCAAGUCGAACGGAAAGGCCCUGCUUGCAGGGUACUCGAGUGGCGAACGGGUGAGUAACACGUGGGUGAUCUGCCCUGCACUUCGGGAUAAGCCUGGUAAACUGGGUCUAAUACCGGAUAGGAGCCAUUUUUAGUGUGAUGGUUGGAAAGUUUUUUCGGUGUAGGAUGAGCUCGCGGCCUAUCAGCUUGUUGGUGGGGUAAUGGCCUACCAAGGCGGCGACGGGUAGCCGGCCUGAGAGGGUGGACGGCCACAGUGGGACUGAGAGACGGCCCAGACUCCGACGGGAGGGAGAAGUGGGGAAGAUUGAACAAGGGGCGCAAGCCUGAUGCAGCGACGCCGAGUGGGGGAUGACGGCCUUCGGGUUGUAAACGCAAUGCGCUAGGGACGAAGCUUUUUGUGACGGUACCUAGAUAAGAAGCACCGGCUAACUACGUG